This 85-nucleotide transfer RNA is filed under the name Pseudomonadota bacterium. RNAcentral describes it as "tRNA-Leu". It matches the Rfam family "tRNA". Rfam says of the family: Transfer RNA (tRNA) molecules are approximately 80 nucleotides in length. Their secondary structure includes four short double-helical elements and three loops (D, anti-codon, and T loops). RNAcentral also lists the same sequence under 3 other names. The record is from RNAcentral. Lineage: Bacteria; Pseudomonadati; Pseudomonadota.
GCCCAGGUGGUGGAACUGGUAGACACGCUAUCUUGAGGGGGUAGUGACGCAAGUCGUGUGGGUUCGAGUCCCACCCUGGGCACCA